This 216-nucleotide ribosomal RNA is filed under the name uncultured Glomus. Its description in RNAcentral is "partial small subunit ribosomal RNA". It matches the Rfam family "Eukaryotic small subunit ribosomal RNA", at positions 569 to 787 of the family's 1831-position model. Lineage: Eukaryota; Fungi; Glomeromycota; Glomeromycetes; Glomerales; Glomeraceae. The record is from RNAcentral.
AGCAGCCGCGGUAAUUCCAGCUCCAAUAGCGUAUAUUAAAGUUGUUGCAGUUAAAAAGCUCGUAGUUGAAUUUCGGGGUCAGCAGGUUGGUCGUGCCGAUGGUAUGUACUGGUCUUGCUGAUUCCUCCCUCUUGCAGAACCGUAAUGCCAUUAAGUUGGUGUUGCGGGGAAACAGGACUGUUACUUUGAAAAAAUUAGACUGUUUAAAGCAGGCUA